RNAcentral lists this ribosomal RNA (252 nucleotides) under uncultured bacterium. RNAcentral describes it as "partial 16S ribosomal RNA". It matches the Rfam family "Bacterial small subunit ribosomal RNA", at positions 524 to 776 of the family's 1533-position model. The record is from RNAcentral.
UACGUAGGGGGCGAGCGUUAUCCGGAAUUACUGGGCGUAAAGGGUGCGUAGGCGGCCUUUUAAGUCAGAUGUGAAAGGCUACGGCUUAACCGUAGUUAGCAUUUGAAACUAAGAGGCUUGAGUGCAGGAGAGGAGAGUGGAAUUCCUAGUGUAGCGGUGAAAUGCGUAGAUAUUAGGAGGAACACCAGUGGCGAAGGCGACUCUCUGGACUGCAACUGACGCUGAGGCACGAAAGCGUGGGUAGCGAACAGG